RNAcentral lists this ribosomal RNA (494 nucleotides) under uncultured bacterium. Its description in RNAcentral is "partial 16S ribosomal RNA". It matches the Rfam family "Bacterial small subunit ribosomal RNA", at positions 28 to 507 of the family's 1533-position model. The record is from RNAcentral.
GACGAACGCUGGCGGCGUGCUUAACACAUGCAAGUCGAACGGUGAAGCGCCUUCCUUUUUGGUGGGUGUGGAUGAGUGGCGAACGGGUGAGUAACACGUGAGUAACCUGCCCCCUUCUUCUGGAUAACCGCAUGAAAGUGUGGCUAAUACGGGAUAUUCUGGGUCUGUCGCAUGAUGGGUCUGGGAAAGAUAUUGUUUCGGUGGGGGAUGGGCUCGCGGCCUAUCAGCUUGUAGGUGGGGUGAUGGCCUACCAAGGCGGUGACGGGUAGCCGGCCUGAGAGGGUGGACGGUCACACUGGGACUGAGACACGGCCCAGACUCCUACGGGAGGCAGCAGUGGGGAAUAUUGCACAAUGGGCGCAAGCCUGAUGCAGCGACGCCGCGUGAGGGAUGGAGGCCUUCGGGUUGUGAACCUCUUUCGCCAGUGAAGCAGGCCUGCCUCGUUUGUGGGUGGGUUGACGGUAGCUGGAGAAGAAGCGCCGGCUAACUACGUG